CUCUUUAAGAAAAAUAUAACUUAAAGUAAAGCCUGCUCAAUCCAAAUUACGCAAUAGCCGCAGUUCAACUGUGCUAAGGUAGCAUAAUAAUUAGCCUCUCAAUUAGGGGAUAGAAUGAACGGCUAAACGAGGCUAUAACUGUCUCAUGAAUUAACAGAUAAACUAAUAUAUCCGUAAAAACGCUGAUAUAAAAAAGUAGGACGACAAGACCCUGACGAACUCAUCAUUUAGCUGGGGCGGCUCAUCAAAAAUACCUCGCAAAAUAUUCACACAAAAAACUAAUAAAAUUAAAACAAGUUACCGCAGGGAUAACAGCGCAAUUUCCUUCAAAAGCUCAAAUUAAAAAGGAAGAUUACGACCUCGAUGUUGAAUUAAUUUACCUAAAUUUAGCGCAAAAGCAUUUCUAAGGUGGUCUGUUCGACCAUUAAAUAAUU
Molecule: ribosomal RNA, 434 nt
Filed under: Artema bunkpurugu
Lineage: Eukaryota; Metazoa; Arthropoda; Arachnida; Araneae; Pholcidae
Description: partial 16S ribosomal RNA
Rfam family: Bacterial large subunit ribosomal RNA
Source: RNAcentral